Lynx canadensis (Canada lynx) is the source of this 1188-nucleotide long non-coding RNA. RefSeq lists it as uncharacterized. Lineage: Eukaryota; Metazoa; Chordata; Mammalia; Carnivora; Felidae. The record is from RefSeq and is a predicted model, not a curated record. The transcript has 3 exons.
AGACAAAACUCACAAAUGUAGGGGGCCCCCCUAAAACUGGACCCUCUCAGAGUUUCAACCUCUCAUGCUUAUCACACUGAACCUUCAGCAACUUGCCAAUUAUAGUUUAGAAAAUUCCUACCAAUACUGGCAGUAGUGAAGGGUUUCUGCUCCAUGUAAGCUCUGGUUCUCUGAAUUCACCUAUCGGUCUCUCCAGUUUUCAGGGCAACAGUUUCCCCCAUGACCCAAUUCUCUGUUGGAUCUAAGAAGAGUUGUUGAUUUUCAGUUGGUUCAGCUUUUUUCUUGUCAUGAAGACAUGAGUGAAGACUUCAAGCCCUUUACUUGUUGGACCAGAAAUCAGAAGUUCACCAGCCUUCCUACCCUUUCCUGCAGAGUGGCUCCAGUAGUGCCUUCAUGAGCAUGAAAGUGAUGAGAACAGCCCAGUCGGAACACAGUCAGAAAGGCAUCUUCCAAAAGUAUUGUCUUCAUAGUGGGCAAUGCAGUAAGUUCUACCAGAAAGAACAGGAGAGACGUGACUGAAACACCUUCAGAGCCUUUUCAGGUCACAGCACCCCUCUACAAUGCCACUUUCAUUCUCCGGUUUCUGGGACAACCUUGGGAGAUUUCAAAUUCUGAAUGUUGACAGACUUUGAUCCCUGAGACAACUUCUAGCUGGCAAAUUCUCCAAAUAUGAUUACCUCCAAUAUAUGAGCUCAUUUCUCUGUACUUACUCCCAAAUGGUGAACAUCGAUUUGCGACAUUAAUGAAGUAAGUACCCAACUAUCCUUGUUCAUGAGCUAUUACCUCGGUAUUGAUUGUAGCCUUAAUUGACAAUUACUUGAGUGGGCUGGACUAUACUGAGCUUUUAUUAAUUUUCCAUGGUGAUACUCAUUACUAAACUUCAUUGCAAUUGUGUAACAAUGUACACUCCCCCCUGUAGCUCACUGAACUGGAAAAUUCCACUGGCCAUUUCCCAAACCUCUUUAUCCUGGAAAAUAAAGAAUUUUGCUAUUGCUAAAUUUGAUAUCAGGAUUCUAGACCUCGAUUCUGCGGGGAGAGAAUUGGCUGUGAAAAUAAAUAGAAUUUGCUAAAUUAUUUUUUCUUCACUGUUAUUUCAGAGAACAUGUUGUAUCCACGGACUUUAUUCUAUCCCUUGCUUCCUAGAGGGACAAUGAACUCCAUGCUACUGUAAAAUUAUAUUCAUUCUUC